AGGUUGGCCCAGGAGAGAUACCAUGAUCACAAAGGUGGUUUUCCCAGGACAAGGCUUAUCCACUGCACUCUGAAUGUGCUGACCCCUGCAAUUUCCUCAAAUGUGGAAACUGCAUAAUUUGUGGUAGUGGGGGAGUGUGUUCACACUAAAACAAA
This is a small nuclear RNA of Otolemur garnettii (small-eared galago), 155 nucleotides long. Its record names the gene U1. It matches the Rfam family "U1 spliceosomal RNA". Rfam says of the family: U1 is a small nuclear RNA (snRNA) component of the spliceosome (involved in pre-mRNA splicing). Its 5' end forms complementary base pairs with the 5' splice junction, thus defining the 5' donor site of an intron. The record is from Ensembl. NCBI's taxonomy places the organism in Eukaryota, Metazoa, Chordata, Mammalia, Primates, Galagidae.